RNAcentral lists this ribosomal RNA (207 nucleotides) under uncultured bacterium. RNAcentral's name for it is "partial 16S ribosomal RNA". It matches the Rfam family "Bacterial small subunit ribosomal RNA", at positions 568 to 774 of the family's 1533-position model. The record is from RNAcentral.
CGUGUAGGCGGCCAUGCAGGUCCGUUGUGAAAACUGGAGGCUUAACCUCCAGCGGUCGGUGGAAACCGCAUGGCUAGAGUCCGGAAGGGGAGAGUGGAAUUCCCGGUGUAGCGGUGAAAUGCGCAGAUAUCGGGAAGAACACCCGUGGCGAAGGCGGCUCUCUGGGACGGUACUGACGCUGAGACGCGAAAGCGUGGGGAGCGAACA